CGGGCACAGUACAGUCCCUUCCCUUCCCAUUAACCCUCAACCAGAUACGUUUCCCUUCCACAAUCGUAACUGGAGCGACAAGUUUUCACUUCAUCAAACUGUAGAUACUAAAGGAAGGUUUCAGAACCAGUAAGAUGGGCGGAGGUGGAGCAGCGACGGCGGUUGCGGAGGCACAGUACUCGGUGGUCAAGACUUCGGUUUGGUGGGACAUAGAGAACUGUCAAGUGCCCAAAGGGUGCGAUCCCCACGCCAUCGCCCAAAUAUAAGCUCCGCUCUCGUUCGGAUGAAUUAUUGCGGCCCCGUUUCCAUCUCUGCUUACGGCGAUACCACUGGCAUCACUGCCUCCGUUCAGCAUGCCCUCUCCAGCACCGGCAUCUCCCUCAAUCAUGUCCCCGCCGGUGUUAAAGAUGCAAGUGACAAAAAGAUUCUUGUUGACAUGCUAUUCUGGGCUGUGGACAAUCCUGCACCUGCUAAUUACUUAUUAACUAUCUGGUGAUAGAGACUUUUCCCAAUGCUCUUCAUCAACUGCGGUUGAGAGGGUAUAUAUAUUCUUCUUGCACAGCCUAAGAAAGCUUCUGCCCCCUAGUAGCAGCUGCCAAGAGUGGUGUGCUUUGGACUAGUCUCUUGGCUGGGGGACCUCCCUUACGAAGGGUGAAUCACUACAACUUGGUAAUAAUGACAUCCAAUCCUCUUCUGACUCCGUACAAAGUCCAGUUCCAUAAUGCCUUCUAUACCGCAGUAUCUGGAAUCCUAUUCAGAAGUUCAUACAGGAAAUCAGAAAUUUCCUGGUACAGCAAGGCAACUUGAUUCUAGACAUCAUGGGAAGACAAAUGGGAGAAAGUCAAAUAAAUCAAAUGGACCCAAGGUCAAGAAUCCAGCUCCCAGUUGGACUUCAAGAAAAUGAUGGCAAUAUAAAUUCUCCUCCACCUGGCAAUUAUACCCAUAAUGUUCCCCCAAGUGGUUCUACACCAAAUAAUGGUAAUCUACAAGACAAUCAUCAAAAUCCACAUUCACAACCAAUAAGAUCAAAUAUUUUUCCUUUGGAGCCUCCUUUUUCACCAAGCAAUUCAUUUUCUCUAAAUUCCAUAAGUUUUGGAACUUCAGUAGUGCCGGCUUUGGACUGGUGGGCCCAGCUUCUCUGCAGCACCACUUACGAAGGUACCAGAUACUGGUAAUAUUUCUGGAUAUCUUAGUAAUGGUCACGAUCCGCACCCUGUUAAUCAAUUGAACGGGGACUUGGAACGGAGUUCUUGCAGUAAUUCUCGAAAUCCUGUUAAAUCUAUUGAUGAAGCAGAUGGGCACAUGAUACAGAACGCACGAAAUUUGUAUACUGGCUAUGCACAUGGGCCAGAACACCGAACUUCAUCAUCAGCGACCGUGGGUAAUAAUAAUCUUCCAGGUAUGGUAUGUGGGGAUCUCCAGAAUCUCCUAAUCUUCUGACACGUCCAAGAUCUUAUAGGGGUUGUUUUACUUGCCUUGAACACACUGAAAACUGAAAAAAUUAAGCCAACUGAGUCAAAUAUAACAGAUUGUAUUCGAUUUGGAGAUCCCAAGCAUCGCAAUACAGAUGUCAAGAAGGCUCUGGAGAUUGCUGUUGAGCAGCAGAUGGUAGUGAAGCAGAAUGUAGGUGCUUUGGAAUUGUUUGUUGGUAAGAAUGAUCAAGUUUGGAAGUUUGUAUGCACUCUGGGUGGUAAUCCUAAGAAGCACUCAAAAGAGACAUGGAACAAAAUAAAAAAAUUUCUAGCUACUUCUCCUGGAAGAUUGGCAAUAAUGAAUACUCAGUGGAAGUACGAAGCAGGUAUUGUGAUUAAGAAUAUGUGCUUGAAAGAUCAUGCUUUGGGUGAUGUCCUACAGAUUUUGAGUUUAGCGAUUUCCUAUAAAAAAUGGAUUGUGCAUCAACAUUUGGGCUGGCAACAGUUAACAUCACCCUUGCAGAGAAAUGUGAUUCAGAGGUCAUAGCAUGCAAAUAACUCCAGAAGGACAUCAGAAGUUAUCUGGAUAAACCUCUCUUUCUACUGCUAACAAAGGUAGUUAGUAAUAAAGAGCUGUGGUAACAAGUACCUUGAAUGCUAUAGCUAACAGAUAUGAUACUGGUAAGUUCUUCCGUUCUGUUGAAGGGGCAAAGGAAAUUACCUUUUGGACAAGAAAUGAAACCUGAAACUUUAAACAUACAAACCAAUAAAGCUCUUCUGGUUUGCUGCUGAGGUUACAAAUUCUCAGCCACUGGUUUCUUAUACAUCGCAUUGGAUCUAUCUGGUAACGAUAUGCCCGCCUCAAAGCUUUGGCUUCUACUUAUGAACGAAUCACUACAUGGAGUUUUUGAAAAUGAUCGAUGACGUGGAACCAAAAUGCUUUCAAUAUCACUUGCGCAAAUGGUGCUUGUAGAGUUGUGAUUUUUAAUGUUCAUGCUUUACUUGGAGUUGGCUUUUGGCAUAUUUCUCAAAUCAUAACUGGGAAUUUGGGCCAUUCAGUUGGGAUAGGUGUAUGCUCCUUCUGCCUUUCAUUUGUGUGUAAACACAGUAUACCAUAUCGUUGAUGAAGCCUAAUUAUUAUAAACUUUUUUUCUUUUAAGUUAGUCCUGAUAUUAGCAUCAAAAUCCCAUUAAGUUUGUUCUAUUCCAAUACAAAUAUUUUGUUUGUGUUCCAAUAUUUUCACGUAGCACUUGAGUGAAUGUUUGAUGCCCUA
Molecule: non-coding RNA, 2685 nt
Organism: Vigna umbellata (rice bean)
Lineage: Eukaryota; Viridiplantae; Streptophyta; Magnoliopsida; Fabales; Fabaceae
Source: RefSeq, a predicted model, not a curated record